UAGGGAAUCUUCGGCAAUGGACGGAAGUCUGACCGAGCAACGCCGCGUGAGUGAAGAAGGUUUUCGGAUCGUAAAGCUCUGUUGUAAGAGAAGAACGAGUGUGAGAGUGGAAAGUUCACACUGUGACGGUAUCUUACCAGAAAGGGACGGCUAACUACGUGCCAGCAGCCGCGGUAAUACGUAGGUCCCGAGCGUUGUCCGGAUUUAUUGGGCGUAAAGCGAGCGCAGGCGGUUAGAUAAGUCUGAAGUUAAAGGCUGUGGCUUAACCAUAGUACGCUUUGGAAACUGUUUAACUUGAGUGCAAGAGGGGAGAGUGGAAUUCCAUGUGUAGCGGUGAAAUGCGUAGAUAUAUGGAGGAACACCGGUGGCGAAAGCGGCUCUCUGGCUUGUAACUGACGCUGAGGCUCGAAAGCGUGGGGAGCAGACAGGAUUAGAUACCCUGGUAGUCCACGCCGUAAACGAUGAGUGCUAGGUGUUAGACCCUUUCCGGGGUUUAGUGCCGUAGCUAACGCAUUAAGCACUCCGCCUGGGGAGUACGACCGCAAGGUUG
Molecule: ribosomal RNA, 550 nt
Filed under: uncultured bacterium
Lineage: Bacteria
Description: bacterial SSU rRNA
Rfam family: Bacterial small subunit ribosomal RNA
Source: RNAcentral